UCUGGUUUCUAGUGGCGGACGGGUGAGUAACGCGUGGGUAACCUGCCCUAUACAGGGGGAUAACAACCAGAAAUGGUUGCUAAUACCGCAUAAGCGCACAGGACCGCAUGGUCCGGUGUGAAAAACUCCGGUGGUAUAGGAUGGACCCGCGUCUGAUUAGGUAGUUGGUGGGGUAACGGCCUACCAAGCCGACGAUCAGUAGCCGACCUGAGAGGGUGACCGGCUACAUUGGGACUGAGACACGGCCCAA
Molecule: ribosomal RNA, 250 nt
Filed under: uncultured bacterium
Lineage: Bacteria
Description: partial 16S ribosomal RNA
Rfam family: Bacterial small subunit ribosomal RNA
Source: RNAcentral